UUUUUUUUUUUUUAAACUUUUGAAAAAACUCUUUUAAAUAUGAUUUUAUGCACAACUUUUACAAACUAUCAAAAUCACCCAACUACAAUUUAUCUACUAACGGAAAAAGAACACAAUUAGCCACUUUUAUAAAAAUUAGGUUAGGGUACGUGCGUUGCACGUGAAUUUUAACUUAUCAUCAUCAAGAGUAGGCAAAAUAAAACUCUAAAUCGGGUUAUUUAGAAAUCCUAACUAAUUUAAAGUGAAGUUUACACAAAAAAUAUGUGUAAUUUAAAUGAAAUAACAUUAUUAGAUAUGGAUUGAAAGCAAAAUGAUAAAAACAAAAGAAAGGGAGGAAAGGGAGGAAAGUGAGGAAGAAAGAGAUGUAGAAAUUGCGGGACUAAGGUCGUUUUAUUCAAAAUCCCAAUUGUGACAUCCCUUCUCUCUCACUUCAGACCUCGGAACACACUUACAUAUGUUUUAAGCUAGCGAAUAAAACUGGUGAAAUUAUUGUACUUGAGAAACCUAGGCAACAACAUGUUGGAGGAUUUAUGAGAAUUUCUAACAAUAAAGGUGUUUUUUGCUCUGCUCUAAGAAACCACUGUAAUGAAGAUAUCAAUAUUAGUACCCCAUACUAACAAAGUAUUACGAAAAAGAAAUACGACAUCAAAGAAAACAUAUUAAUUAGUAAGAAAAGUAGUAGAUAAUAUUCAAAAAAAUAAUGCACUAAAUAAUGUGUUAACUGAAACACAAUACACAACAAUUAGUAAUAGAUAGCAAACACAAGAAAAUACAUCUAUAAGGCUAAAACUAUGACAAACACAAUGCUCCUAGACUCCCACCAAAUCUAAACCUAUAGAACAAGAAGUCAAAGUAUAACUACCUACUAACCUUCUACUCUUAUCUGUGAUCUCCAUAUCCUCAUAUCUAAUGCUCCUAAAUUAAAAAAGAAUCACAAAUUUCUUUUAAAAAUAUAAUAUGUGCAUGCAACACACUAAAACUAAAUUGUACAUAAAAACUACGGCAUUACAAAAACAUGAUUCAUAAAUUAAAACAAAUUCAAUAUUCUUUAUUUUCUUAAUCCGUGACGUCUAUACCCUCGUAUCUAAUGCACUUAUAUAAAAAAUAAUCACAAAUUUCUUCAUACAAAUAUACUAAAUUGCACAUAAAAGAUAUAAUAUUACAAAAACAUGAUUCAUAAAUCAAAAAAAAAAAUUAAGCUUCUAUUCUAACCUAUGAUAUCCAUAAUAGAGAAAACCCCGUUGAGAAUCCAUUAGCAAACUAAACAUUAUUGUAGAGUUAUUGGAGUUCUAACACUAAAAAUUGUGAAAAAUAGAAAAACUAUCACGGGUCAUAAACCUUUUAUGAUUUUAUUUAUAUUAGUUUUUAAGAAAUAAGUAGUUACUAUUCAAAUUUUGAUGAAAACACUAAUAUUUUUCUUUUUCUUUUUCUCUUACACCCAUGUAAAUUCCUAUCAAAGCAAUAGCACAUAAGAAUAACAGUGUCUAUAAUUAUACUUUGGAUAUACAUAAUUAAGGUCCUAAAAGAAAUAAAUAAUGAAGGUAUAUACUUUUUUUUACGUAGAAUAAUGAAGUUAACAUACUUUAUCUACAUCAUCUCCUGACUAAAGCAUGUUUUCAAAAUUCUUAUAUUGUUCGAGCGUUGUCAAUUUGUAGCUUUUGCCCGAUUAUGUUCAAUCUUUUUCUUGGGAUAUAUUGUAUAUCUUUGCCUUUCCUUUCCUUGCUUGUGCAAUAGAUGUAUAGUCCCUUCUUUACCUACCAAAUAUUACCAAAAAUAAAAUCGGAAUACACCCUUGAAUAUUUGACUCAACUCACCAAAGUAACUCGUACACAUUCAUGUAUUCACUUGAUGUGUAAUUCAAAAAUUUAAGAUAAUUUAAAAUAUAGGAAAAAAAAUAAAAAAGCUCAUCUCAAUACCUUGGUACCUUGGCAUAUGAGUCAUUAGAAAAUUAAGAUUUGUUCGUGUAUUUUUAUUUAUUAUAGAUACUAUCAAGAAACAACACAUGAAAGAAAAUCAACUCACCUUAUAGCCUAUCCUAAGCAUGGGUUCUUUAUAUAUGUGCUUUUCUAUUUUAAGUAGGAUAUCAUUUAUUUUUCUGAUUAAUAUUUUAACCUUAUUUUAUAGAAAGUGUUUUUAACUCUAUUUUAUAAGAUUUGGCAUGAGUUUUUUCCUUUUUUUUUUUCUUCUGGAAAUGUUGUUUUAAAUUAUAGAAUAAAAAUUAGACCUCUUAUCAUAAAUUGAGGACUUUUUAAUUUAUAAAAUAAAAAUUAAACCUCGUACAAUAAAUAAAUUAACCUUUUAUCUUAUAAAAUAUAGGUCGUUAUUUUCAUACCCUCCUAUCUAAUACACAUAAAAGCUACGAUGUUAUAAAAAGCAUGAUUCAUAAAUUAAAAAUAAUUUAACUUUUUACCCUAAUUUAUGAUCUCCAUACCCUCCUAUCUCCUACACCUAUAUAAAAAGAAUCACAAAUUUCUUAAAACAAAUAUACUAUGGACAUGCGACAAUAUUAGAAUUAAAUUACGCAUAAAAACUAAGAUACCUUUUACCUUAAUCCACGACCUCCAAAAAUAAAGUUAAAGGAAGUGAACUACAUUAUUAUUCACGUAUAAAGUUUAUAUCUUUUUUCAUGCCAAUAAUUUUCUAGAUAUCAAGCGUUAUAAAAUAAACAUAAGUAUUCAACUGUCUGACGAAACUGAAAAAAUUAUUGUGCCUACAAUAUUUUGGACAAAAUAUCUUUAAAAAAUUCAGGCACAUUUUAAGCGACGGAACUAUAACUAUUGUUACUCCACCAUUUCAUGGAGUUUGUCAAAUGUUAAUACAUCAUCUACCAUGUCAGACGAGAAAAUUGAAGGAAAGAUGUCUUUUAAGUCUUGAAUGAAGGAUUGAUGAUAUUGACCAACUUAAAGGGUCAAACAUCAUUUGUAAACUUGAUUAAGUUAAUUGUGGAGUUGAUUAAUGUUUUUAAAACUUUUUAAUCUUUUCAAAAAUACAAAUCAACCUAACCACAUCCCUCUUCAAUUCAAAUCAACCAGUCUCUCUCCUCUCUCUCUCUCGACAACUUCUUUGAACUCUCUCCCAACUAACAAUUCUGCAAAAUUCUCCCUUCAAUCUCCGACGAAAAAUAGUCGGACGAGUUCUCUUUCAACUUUCAACCAUCAAUCGACGUGAAGAAUUCUCUGGCGAUAACAACUUCAAGUUCUUCUUCGUCCCAUUUCUUUUUUCACAGGUAAAAAUUUAUGAAGAAACAGAGAAACUUGAGCCAACUACUCUUCUAGUAUUGAAAUGUGGACUGAAUAAAAUCCUAAUUUUUGGCAUUUCUUCUUCUUGUUGUUGUACUGUUGAUUCGGAUUUGUUGGUGAUUUUUAUUCACAGUUGAUAGUCUUAGUGUGUGUGUGAUGUGUUGGUGUUGCUGGGUUGAUUUAUUGUUUGUCUUGGAUAAAAUGGUGUUGAAACAGAUAAAGACAUCUGAUGAAAUAGAUAAAGACAUCUGAUGCAACAGAUGAAGACAUCUGAUGCAGCAGAUAUUAAUAUCUGAUGCAACAGAUUAAAAUCUGUUGCAACUAUGAAAAUCGAUGCAACAGAUGAACAAUCUAACAGAUCAUUCAUCUGUUGCGACAGGCGACUCUUCUAUUUGGAAGAAAUCUAAACAAUAUUAUUCCAACAGAUAACUCAUUUUCCAACAAAUGAGUGAUAUGUUUCAAUAGUUCAGUGAUCUGUUUUUAUUCUCUCCAAAGGUUUACUCAUCCAUUACAAUAGGCCAGUUAUUUAUUGCAACAGAUAAAAUACCUGGUCGAACAGCUCAGCGAUUUGUUUUUAUUGUUUCCAAUGGAUUACUCAUCCGUUACAGCAGGUCAUUUCUAUGUUGUAACAAAUAACAAACCUGGUGCAACAGAUUAGUGAUCUAUUUUUAUGUUCCUGUUUGAAAGAAAUCUAAAUAAUAUUGAUCCAACAGAUAACUUAUUUUCUAAUAGAUGAGUGGUAUGUUUCAAUAGUUCAAUGAUCUGUUUUUAUUCUCUUCAAAGGUUUACUCAUCGUUGCAACAUGUCAGUUAUAUGUUGCAACAGAUAAAAUACCUGGUGCAACAGAUCAGUGAUUUUUUUUAUUAUUUCCAACGGAUUUCUCAUCUGUCGCAACACGUUAUUUAUAUGUUGCAACAGAUAACAAACCUGGUGCAACAGAUUAGUGAUAUGUUUUUAUGGUUUCCAACGGAUUACUCAUUCAUUGUAACAGGUUGGUUAUACAUUGCAUCAGAUAAAAUACCUGGUACAACAGAUCAGUGAUCUGUUUUAUGGUUUCCAACAGUUUACUUAUAUGUUGCAACAGUUGGUUAUAUGUUGCAUCAGAUAACAUACCUGGUGCAAUAGAUUAGUGAUCUGUUUUUAUUGUCUCUAAUUAUUUGCUCAUCUAUUGCAUCCGAGUCGGACGGAUUAGAGAUCUACUCUAAUGGUUUACUCAUCUAUUGCAACAGGUCGGUUAUAUAUUGCAACAGAUAACAUAUCUGGUGCAACAGAUGUGUUGUCUGUUGAACUAUUUUUUUUACCAUUGUGCAUGUUUGAUUUACUGUUAUCCUUUUUAAUGAUACAUUAAUCAAUUAUAAUCUAUUUUAUAUUCCUAUUAAUUUAAGAUAAUAUGGCUCCAAAAAGAAGAGAAACCGAAUUAAGUCCUAGUAAAGGAACAAGUGCAGCAGCUCGGCUAUAUCCACCACUCUAUGAGCUUGCUUUAUAAGCGUUAUCUUAAUCAAGAGCAGAAGAUAAUGAACACGGGGAAGAGGAAUGUCUCAAAAGAUAUAAUUCAAAUGCUAAUAGCCCUUUCACCGAAGAGUUGGUCAAAACCUUCAACAUUGAUUGUUAUCCUGUGAGAAUGGACUGCGAUGGUGUCACAGAUUUAACGGGUGAUUUCGUGGUUAAGUCAGCCAUGGGAAAAUAUUUCGACGCCUUCAGAAAAAUACUCCGAGAAUAAAAAUUGGAUGCUUAUUCCAGGAAAAGCUGCUUUGGGCAAUAUCUUGAUGCUCGUUUCCAAAUAAAAAUGGUAUACGAUCUUCUCAAGCUUAGGUUUAUGUAUGAAAACAAAGACAAGAUGGAUAAGGUGCGGAUAAAUUACUAUGGCAUGCCUAUUUGUUUUGGUUUGAAGGAGUUUGCCAUAGUUAUCGGAUUAAAAUGUUAUCCUCCUUCUCCUUCUCAAGUUAUACCUACUCUGACCCAAAAGAAAGCACCCCGCACACCCAAAAAAAGCAAAGGCAAGUCGAGUGAUCGUCAGGACCUGGUGUCUACUGUUAGUCCAAGCUUCAAAAACAAAAAUUUGACAGAAGCAUUGAAAGGUAAAGGACUCUCAAAGAAGCACAAGAAAUCAUUAUGCUUGGUUUGGUUUGUACAUAAUAUUCUUUGGGUGAGAGACGUUAACAACAAUAUAAGCCCCAAUUUAAUAAAUCUCUUCGAGGAUCUUGAGGUAUUUAACAGCUAUCCUUGGGGUUAUGAAAGCUUCAAAAUGACUGUCCAAUAUUUGUUGACUCCGUUGACGCCAACGACAGUCAACUUAUAUGGCUUUCCAUGGGCCUUCAUGAUAAAUAUUUCUUUUAUCAUGAUAUGAUUCAUCAUUUUUUUAUUCAAUAAUGCUUUGGAUUUAUUGGCGUUAUGUUAUAGGCUUGGGCAUUUGAAGCCAUUCCUUAUUUGAGACAACAAGUGAACUACCAGGAAGAAGUUUUCUGUCCAAGAAUCCUGAUAUGGUUGUUGGCCAAAACCGAUAACAAUGCACAAUUUCUUGUAUCUUUUCAAUCCCCCAAGGAAGCAGUGAGUCCAAUUCUAAUCAAGUUUUUAUUUUAAUUAAUGAUUAUUUUAAAUAAUUUCAUCAUCAUUCUAAUAUAUGUAUCGAUUUAUUUUAGAUUAUCCAUUCAUGGCUUAUUUCAACCAAUCGAGAGUUGAAGAUGCCAUUUUUCUUACUUUAUGAUCUGUGCAAACUUUACCGGACCCUAAGGUUGUUGAUGGAAUAAAAAUAGAAUUAUUUGGAGCAACAACCAUCACCAGAAAAAUAAUUUGGAGGGUGGGCUUGUUGCUGUUGACGAUGGUAGUCGUAGUGGUAGUGGUAGUGGUGCCAUUGUUGGGUCUAAUGAUGCUUCUCUUAUCAUUUUUGAAACAACAAGCCAUUAUGAUUAUGGUCAUACUGGUUGUACAAAUUUUGCCACAUCUAGUGAAUGUUCUGCAUGCAAAUGUCAAGACUACAAGGUAAAACACGAUGGAGUGAUUAAUACUAUUAAUGCACUAAUUGCUUCUGUAAAGAAAAUGACAUCUAAGAGGGGUGUUAUUCUAUCAAAGAGGAUUUCAUAUCCAUACACUCCACUAGAGAUCAAGAUUGCUAAGAGGAGAAGGAAAGAUACUUUCAAGGCAUCAUCAAGCAUCAAAAAAAGAAAAAUUGCAAUGCCUAUGUCUUUGUCUUGCACUGAUGUUCAGUGUGCAAAGGCCACAAGAGAGCAACAUGAGCCGAAGAAGGUUAAUGUAUAUCACUUGUUCCAAAAAACAAACAUGCACAUAUCUAUUUUAAACAGAUGAUACAUCUACUAAAAAUUAUCAAACAAAUAUAUACAUUUGUUGCAACUGUUGUCUAACCUUUUGCAUCAGAUGUGUUAUCUGUUGCAACAGAUGAGUCUUAUGUUGCAACAGAUGGAUCAUCUGUUUGAAAUUAUCAUACUGCUCUGAUUUACCUAUUCGAAUUUAUCCCAACAGAUGAUCCAUCUGUUGCAACAUAAGAGUCAUCUGUUGCUAUAGAUGGACAAUUUGUUGUAUAUCUGUUAUUAGCAUUGACAAUUCUGACUUUUGAGGUGGAUGUCAUGAUAGAAGCCACUGCUGAAGAGCAUAAUAUCAUAGUUUAUAAUCCAUCAACUGCUUCUAAAAAAGAAGAAAAAGUGGAGCCUGUCAGUUUGGGAGAACAAAAGAAUUAUACGUUUGAAGGGUUCAACAUCUCGAAUGAGGCUCUAAAAAAACUAAUGCAGUUGAUCAACGACUAUUCAAAAUGGAUUGCCGAUGGGCUGUUAAAGCAUCAUGCCGGUAGGUACAUAAAUAAAUUUUAAAAGAUAUUGGUUUAUACGAUUCUUAUUGUAAGAACGUGACAUUAACACAUAUAAAUCAUCAUGUAGAAAACAAAAUGACGAACGCUAUAAAGUGAACAAAUCGAGUUUUGGUUUUGAUAUUUUUGACUUUGUUAUUGCACAUCCCAAAAUGAAGAAUUGGUUAUAUUUGAUGUCACAGCCUCAAACUUGCUGGAAUGUUGAGGUUUAAAUGCCAUACAUAUUACUAUUAAUUAAUACUUUUUUUAAUUGCAUCUGCAUAUUAAUUUUUUCGUCACAUAAUUCAAAAUGUUUGAUAAUAUGCGCAGCACAUCGAUGUCAUUAUUUACUACCUUCGAAAGAAGGCCAAGUUGCAAACACAGGAAUAAUACAGAUACGCAACAAACAAUUAUUUGUACAAAGUUUACAUCAAUAAUGCCUACGAUAGGUAUUGUCAACAACAGCCGAAAGUUUCCCAAAAUGAGGAAUACUUAAUCAACAUCAUCAAAGGUUUUAGCAUUUCAGCUGGCUUACCUUGGCAUUUGGUCGAUGAAGUGUACAUCCCAAUCAAUUAUGGUAAUGAAUUCCAUGGGGUUUUGGCUGUCGUCAUUCUAAAAGAGAGGCGCAUCCGAGUUUAUGACUCAAUGUCAUGAAAGAGAUAUUUCGGGCCUUCGUCUAAGAUACAAAAGCUAACCAAAAUAUUGCCUACUUACCUUGAUAUGAGUGGCUUUUUGGACCAAAAGGUUCGUACUGAUUGGUUGACGAUUGAAGCAUACCAGGAUAAAAUGGGUAAUCUAUUUGAUGUACAAUAUGUUGAAGGAAUUACUCAACAAACCAUUGGUAUCCUGUAAGUAUAAGUGUCAUAAUUUAUUUUCAUUUCAUGAAUUUCACAAUGUUUGCAUGAAUUACAAGAUAUGGAUUAUCUAUUUUUUUAAAAUGCAGGAAUUGCGGUCCUUUUGUUGUCGCUUAUGCCGAGUAUUUGAGAGAUGGAUUACAAGUACCAAAUGAUGGACUUGAUGCUGGAUUACUCCACAAAAGAUAUGCUGCUCUUUUAUGAAAAUACAUAGAAGCAAAAGCUCAAAAGUUAUACGCAAGCGACACUAAAGAUCUACGACGACCAAAGCCAAAUUUCGUAAUACCGAGUGAAGAACAACUUGUCCAUAUUGAUUAGAUCUUUAUAGCUUGAGUCUGUCAAUGUGAUAACUUAUUCUCCUUUGUCUAACUUGUUGAUUUAUUUGUAGACUAGAUCAUUUGUGCCCAUAAUGAUUUUUUUAUAUUUCAUUUAUUUCAUGUAAUUUUUGAAGGUUUCAAUUUAUUUUAUGUUGUCUAUGAAUACAAUUUAAUCCUUAUUUUUGAACAUGAUAAUUGAAAUGGAAUACUAUAUUCAAAUAUCGCAACAGAUAAUACAUCUGCUACAACAGACGACAUAUCUUAUCAAACAGAUUUAGACAUAUGUUGCAACAUGAGAUGCAACACAUAGAUCAUCUGCUGAAAAUUAUAUAACAGGUCUUCCUACUUUUUUUAUUUGCUCCAACAGAUUAUUGAUCAGUUUCAACAGAUAGAUUAUAGAUUAUAUGUUGCAACCGAUUGUAUAUCUGUUGCGACAGACAGACUGGAAAUAUCUGUAUAAUGCAACAGAUGACCAACCUAUUCCAACUGAUUAUCAAUCUAUCAUAACAGGUACUGUAUCUGACACAACAGAUAUCCUAUCUGUUAUAACAGAUAUAUAAUCUGUUGCAUUUUAAAAAUUCAACUUUUGCCAGACAGAAAUUAUUGCCACUACAUGUAAAGUGAGGUGGCUUAAAAUAAAAAAUUAUUAUCGUGUUCGUCUCCAUCUUUGCACAUAUUCUUCUUUAUACACGGGCUCCAACCAUUUAGUUAGGUCAUCUGCUGAAAAUUAUAUAACAGGUCUUCCUACUUUAUUUAUUUAUUUAUUGCAAUAGAUUAUCUAUCAGUUGCAACAGAUAGAUUAUAUAUUACAACAGAUUGGAUAUUUGUUGCGACAGACAGACCGGGAAACAUCUAUUAAUGCAGUUGACAACCAACCUACUACAACAGAUAAUCAAUCUGUCAUAACAGGUAUUAUACAUGUUACAACAGAUAUACUAUCUGUUGCAUUAUAGAAAUCUAACUAUCUAUAGAUAUAAAAAUUAUUGCCACAAUAUGUAAAGUGAGGUGGCUUGACAUAAAAAAUUAUUAUCAUGUUUGUCUCCGUCUUUAUACAUUUUCUUCUUUAUACACGAGCUCCAACCAUUUAGUUAGUACCCUAUAAGCCCAGAUAGAGUCUUUUCCACCGUUGUCGCACAUACCGGUCAUUUCUAUACUGGUCAGCAAAUACUCGAUGUAUGCAAGUGAGUACGGAUCGCAUGCUGCACCUGUUCUAUUACUCUGGAGCUCGAUGUUCUUAUUUCAAUCAUCGAAAUCCCAUGAUUCCUUCGUCAAGAAUUCAGCCGGCAAAUGAUCCAUCAACUUACUCUACGUCAACAACUUGGGUAGCAACUUCAAGAGUGGUUGCAUGUAGGCUAAAAACUUAUCCUUACUGAAAAUAGUUAAGUUACAGUCAUAAACCUUAAUAUUUCCCUCGUAGAGUAGUAUGUCAACAAUGAGAAAAUUUUUGACUUUCAUGUUCAUGACAUCAAGGAUUCUCUUUGUCUUGGUCCAGCUCUUGCCGUAUGAAUAUGGCCUCUUCCCUCUAACAUAUUUAAUCAUUUUUUCAUCCCAUUGGAAUGUAGAAACUAACUGAUCAAGUCCCAGGCUAUAGAAAUUAGCUUGCUUAUGGAGAUCAGCGUACCUAUUCUUGAAAUUAUUGUAGAAGUUGAGGUCUAUUAUUCUAUCGGCAGCAUCAUAAGAAUCCGGGCACGCUAAUUGCCUGCCCUUCAUGAGGCAGAGAAUUUCAUCAACAUACUAUGGUAUAAGAAGCCAAUUAAUUUAAAUAGGUUAGUAAUUGUAAGGAAUAAAAACACAGUGGAAGAAUCUGAUGCAGAGGGUUCUUUGAAUCAAUUCACAGAUUACCCAGCCAACGCAACUCAUGCAAUAGAUGUGUAUUAUAAUGCAAUAGAAUACCAAGAUGUUGCAACAGAUUAGACAUCUAUUGCGUAGAUUCUUCUUCGUGGAGUAGAUUGGAAGGCUAGGUUAGCAAAAGUAAACUUACAUUGUCCUCGUACCACACACACAUAUUUGUCAUACUUUUGAAGUCUUUGGCGGCAAAUGAAUGCAUGGUGUAUUCUUUUUGAACCUUCCUCCUGCCAUUCAUGAUUUGUUGCAGUUCCUCCUCUUUCUCCUUGCCAAGCGCUGCGAAUAUGUCCACCUUCUUCAGCGGCCCCUGAACUUCAACAAAUCUUGGAGUGGGAGGAGUUACAAUUUUUACUGUUUUCAUAAUAGAGAGAAUUUGUUUAAUUUUUCUUCUCUUCCUCCUAACUGCCACUGUAGGAGUGCAUGGCUCCCUUACCUCAUUGGAUGGUAUGACACCCCUUUUGGAUUUCAACUUCUUGACAACUUAAGUAAUAGCUUUUAGUUUUUCAAGGAGUUUAUCAUCUCUAUCCUUGCAUACUUUGCAUUUGCAAUGAGAAUAGGGUAAGGAGGGGUGAGAGGUACCACUAUAAGGGUGGGAGGGACCGGUGUAGGGGUGAGAUGGACCUGUGCAAGGGGUGUUUUCAAAAGUAUUUAUUUUUUGUUGAGCAUGCUUAUAAUCCGACUAGAAGCAGUAGGAUGGCUACCACCAUCACAAACAACUACACCAACAACAUCCUGGAAGAAGCACCCGAAUCUAUUGCAGUUUGAGGUUGGUCCUGAAGAGCUUCAACAUUAGGUAGACCUUGCCUAAAUGCUUUUCUUAUGGAUGUUGCUCCAGCCAAUUCCUUCUUUAUUAAAUCCAUCGUUGGGUCUUCUUUUAUAUUGACAAGACCCAGAGUAAGAAAAUAAGUCAUCCCCAGCUCAUCAUCGGUAGGCACGAUCCAAGGAUGCAAACCUAUAAAAAAAGAUAGGAGGCAUUUAAAUCAUAUAACAAUAAUUUGCAGUCAGUUGGGUUACAUGGAUAUUAACACAACCAACUUAUGCAAUAGAUGAUCUAGCUGCCACAAUAGCUGAUCUAUAUAUCGCAACAGAUUGAUAAUAUGUUGCAUCAGAUUAUGCGUCUGUUGCAUAAUUUACAUCAGAUGGGUAAUCCAUUGAGUCGGGUUCAAAGAACCAGAGCAACAGAUAGUUAAUCUGUUGUGAAAUAUGGAUCGCCUGUCGCAACAAUUUACCCAUCUAUUGCACCAGAUGCAGUUGUCAGCUAAUCUAUUGCAAUAGACGAACCACUGUCGCAACAGAUGGAACAUCUAUUUUAAUAUCUUUCUUUGAGGCAAAUUAUUUUAGUUGAAAGAAGACGUACUGCAUCAUUUGGAGGGUUAAAUAGAUCAAUGUCCUGCUCCUUAAUAUUUUUUUCCUCUCUUUGCAACCGCCAACCACCUAAGGAUCCUAGGAUGAGAAACUUUAUCCGGGUAAUCCUUGAACUACUUUCGAAGGGAAGGAAUGGGUUCACAUGCCCAAGCCUGAAAAAUGUAAACAUGAAGCAAGCCAAAAAAAGUCCUAAUAAGUAUAUAGUCAUUAUAAAUUAAUGGAUUUGUAAAAAUAGUGAUCAAUUUUACCAUGAAAACCCAGGAAAAGCCUUAUAAUGUGAUCGUCUCUGUGGAUAACUUUGUCAGUAAAUAUUCGACAGUCAAGUAGUAACUGUCAUAUCCCAAAGGAUAGUUGUUGAAUUUGUCAAAAUCAUCAGCAAGCGCCAACAAAUCAUCUUCUAUGACUUUCUUGACGUCUCUUGCCAAUAAAAUAGAAUGGACAAACCAAUCUAAGCACAAUUUCUCCCUGCAGUGCUUUGGUAUGUCUUUAUCCUCGAGGUCUGCCAUCAAAUCCACCGCUUUGUUGCUACUACGUCCAACAAUGUCCAAUAGUCUAUCUUUUUUUUCCUUGCAUUAGUUGGACCCUUUGUGGGGUGUUUCCUUGAUGAGAGGUUCUUCUGGACGAUCACAUCUCAAGCCUUUCACUAUGGCAAACUUUUCAACCCAAAACAAACCGGCAUACCAUAGUAGUUGAUCCAGAUUUCAUUCAUAUUUUAUUCAACCUCCUUCGGAUCUUUAUCAUCCCCUACGUACUUGAUACUGUGCUUAAGAAAACCAUAUACCUGCUCAUUGGGAAAUGAAGAGUGCGGUCCUUAGGCAGCUCGAGAAAGUAUGCAAAGCAACUCUUGUUAAAAAGUUUGUCUAUGUUUUCAUUCUUCAUAAUUCUCCUUAAUUCAUUAAAAUGUUUACCCAAUUGACAUUUAACUACAAGAUCACCAGUUACUUUGUCAGGGCUAUCCAUCGGCAUCGCAACUCAAAACCUGUCGAUACUAAUGGUUUUGACAAAAUCAUGCUAGGAUUUUGAUAUUAUUUUAUGCUCAAUUAGAGAGAUGGAGUUAUCACUUUUUUUGACUUCUGUAGUGUCCUAAAUCUGGUACCCAGAAUGCUACAUGGUGCUCAUGACCCUGAAGGACCACAAGCUAACCCGUGACUGAUAUCUGUACCUAAAUACUAUAUAACAUCAUGUAAAAUGCGAAAAUAAUCGACUGAAACAUGCCAUAAGUUUCAAAAUGGAUAAAACAUAAUAUUUGAGAGUACGGUAUAUCAAUACCAAAACAUGAACUAAAAUAAACUGUCUGAACAUACUGUAGUCUGAAAAGCCUCUAACUGACUGAACUGUCUGAAAAAGGAGUUGAUCGGACAUGUACCCAACUAACUCCAUCUUCUGAAAGCUAAACUGAAAUAAUGAAAUAAAUAAUAAUAUCAUCCUCGAAUGAUAAGGACUCACUACUAAAUUUGGCUGAUAAAAUUUAAAGUGCUACUGAUGCUUUGGAACUCAUGCUUCUGGACCUAUGGUAUAAAACACCAUAGCUCAAAUGCGUCAGUACAAUUGAAUAUUCUGGUAUGCAUGUGAGGUAGGCUGAAUGCAGAGGGUUCAAAUGCAUGAACAAUGCUAACUAACUAUAUAACAUGAAUGUGAGAAUACAUGCAUGAACAAAUGAUUGUAACUGAAUUCGUGAUGAUACUGAAUACUGAGUCUGAAUACUAAUAACAUGAGUUACUAAUAACUGAUACUGAGCUACUGUAUCUAACAGUCUAGGUUCUAAUAGAACUAGCUGAGUUUUGUACUAUUUAAAGUUGACUGUAUCUGACAGUCCUAAAUUCUGUAGAACUAUCUGAGUUCUGUUAUUGAGACUGAGACUGAAAUUGUAACUGUGGGAAGUAGUCAUCUAACCGACAUGCCCCAAAUAAAUUAAUAUAGCUGAGUUGGGGUCCAAUCUAUAAGCCCAAUUAAAAGGGUGUCAAUACCGCGCCACCGGUAAGGACAAGCUGUGAGUGACCCUUAACUGGAAGGUACUCAAAUAAGAACGGAGGGAACCCUCAACUGGCAGGUAAGCCACCUCAUCAACCCUCAACAGAAAGGUUAGAUGUCUCAACCUAUGCUGGCUAUGUAGUUCUAAAAUGCAAGAAUUGCUUCUAAGAACACACCCUCUACUGGCAGGUGAGUUCCCAUCCUUGGGUUCACUCGGUGCUAAAUCCUACUCCCAUCUAAAUAGACACUGAACUUGAUUAACUGAGCUGAACUGGACUGAGUUAACCGAGUUUCAUUGACUGAUGGAAUACUACUGAGAUUACUGAAUUACUGAGCUUUCCUGAGUCACAUGACUGACUAAGUUCUAUUGACCAUGGCUUGACUGAGAGUAUCGUGAAAACGUGACACUAGCUCUAGGCACACAGCUAAUUUGUUGGGUACAAGUAUCCCCAGGACUCAAUAGAAGGAAACUGACAAGGCAUGAUGUUCUUGAAUACAUGACCAACAUCAACAAUCCACAAUAUAAUAAGUUGGGGAUUUCAUAAAGCACAUGGUUAUCAUAAAUCUGUACAUGGUUGGAAUGCAUAUAAUAAGUAUCAUAAUUUCAUACUCUAACAUCAUGAGCAUUCCAACAAAUAUCUACAUUGCACAUCAAUAGCAUGGGAGUCAUUUAAACAUAAGGGUAAGACAUGCAUUUAUCAUAUGGGUUACAAUUGAUCUAUAAUACACAAUUUCUAUCCUCUUAGGCAUUUUAUCAAACACCUUACAUUCACAACUUAGGGCAUAGAUGUAAUCAUCAAAUUACACAUUAUGAACAACUUCAUUCAUGGAUUUCAACUUGCAUGCAAACGUAGUUUCAUGAAAAACAUAUAAAGAUUCCAACUUAGGAAUCGUACGACAAGAUAAACAUGAUUACAAAACAACCCGCAAUAUAAACAUCAUGAUUUAUAAUUUGAAAUAGGGUUCUUGAGCUUUAUGUAUGAAAGAAAUCCAUAAAUCAAUACUAUGCAUACCUUGGAUGGAAGAUUCUUGAAAACAAAUGGUGAAAUUCUUGAAAUUGGAAACCCUAAGCUUGUUCUUGAUGGGUUUGAGAGAGAAACCACUAUAAUUUAAGUGAAAUAGGGAUGAGUUACGUGUUUGUGACUUAUACAGGGGUGGGAAAUUGAACCUUUUUCCCUUGAGGAUGCGGUUAUUUAAUGAAUAAAAUUGGGUGCCGACGCUACAAGCAACGUAGUGCAUUGGUGGCUGCGAUGCGAUACUCGACGCAUCAUGCCAUGAUCAUGUCAAGCCUCAGAGGUUUUGGCUCUAGCAGCCUGUACAAAUGUUGACCAACGCGAUUGGCGAUGCAGCAUGCUAAGAUCAUAUUGGUCCACUAUUUUGGGACUCCAAACAUGAUCUAAAUGUGUUCCAAAAAAUCCAGAACUUAUCUGGGAGUACCUAUUGACCUUCCUGAUCGUGAAUUAAUGAAAAUAUGGGCCAUUAAAUGACAUUAAGAUGGCAAUAUGAUAUUGCCAACUUUCGAAGGCUAAAAUAGGCUAAGUCUGGGAACUUGGUUAGAAUUUUCUAAGUCUAGGACCCCUUGACAAGCUUAAAGGACUGAAUUAUGAUUAGAAGUUUUGCGGGGUCUUACAAUAUCUCCCUUUUGAGAACAUUCACCCUCUAAUGAGACUGACUGAGAGGGGAGAAGAGAUAAACUGACAUAUAUUUUGAACAUGAGCAACUGAAACAUGAUUCCAUGACUGACAUGAGUGAUAACUAAAUACACCAUACUGAGCAUGUGUAACUGAUUCAUGAAUGCAUGACUGAAUGUUCUGAUAAACUGAGUUUCUGACAAAGAGAAUGCUUAUUUGAUGCAUGAUUAUAUGACUGAACCAAUACAUAUAUGCACGACUGAAUAUGCAAUGGUAUUUAAUACCAAGUUUAUGAUGGAAUAGUUAACAUGAAUUGGAUACCAAGUUGUAACUGAAAUUUGAAUAUUAAACUUAAAAGCUUAAGGAGAACUAUUACCUUGAGCUAGAUCUGAGUUAGCAGAGACGAGGUGAGGGUACUUGGUUUGCAUGUAUGAUUCUGCUUCCCAAGUAGCUUCCUUAACGGAUUGAUUCUACCAAAGAACUUUGACUAGAGGGACUUCUUUGUUCCUCAGUCUACGAGUCUGAUAGUCAAGAAUUUCAACUGAAAUCUCUUCAUAAGAGAGGCCGUUUUGAAUAUCUAUGCUCUAAAUAGGGACUACAACUGCUGGGUCACCUAUGCACUUCUUGAGCAAAGAUACAUGAAAUACUGGAUGAACUGAGGCUAGAUCUGAAGGCAAUUCAAGCUCAUAAGCUACCUUGCCGAAGCGACUGAGAAUUUUGAAGGGUUCGACAUAUCAGGGACUGAGCUUUCCCUUCUUGCCAAACUGCUUCACUUCCUUCAUGGGAGAGAUAUUUAGAUAAACAUAAUCACCAAUCUUGAAUUCGAGAUCCUUUCUGUGCACAUCUGCAUAAGACUUCUAUCGGCUCUAGGCAACCCGGAGUCUUUCUAUGAUCAACUGGACUUUUUCUAAGGCAUCAAGUACUAAGUCAGGCCCUAGGACUGCGACCUCACUAACUUCGAACUAAUUAAUUGGAGAUCUAUAUUUUCUACCAUAGAGAGCCUCUAAUGGAGCCAUCCGAAUACUGAAAUGGUAGCUGUUGUUGUAUGCAAACUCAAUCAAAGGUAAGUGGUCAUCCCAACUACCCUUGAAGUCAAUUGCACACGGCCUUAGCAUAUCUUUAAAGUCUGAAUGGUCCUUUUUACUUGACCAUCUGUCUGAGGAUGGAAGGCUGUACUGAGAUAAACUUGGGUACCGAAACCCUUUUAGAACGCUUUCCAUAAAUAAAAGAUGAAAUGGGUACCUCUAUAUGAGAUAAUAGAUAACGAAACAUAGAAAUCUGACCAACUUUUUGAUGUAGAGUUUGGCAUAAUCCUCAACCGAAUAAGAGGUAUGGGAUGGAAGAAAAUGAGUUGAUUUGGUCAUCCUAUAUAUAAUGAUCCAAACUGAAUUAUGUUGAUGAUGAGUAUGAGGCAAACCCAUCAUGAAGUCCAUGUUCACUUCUUCCCACUUCCAAGUAGGAAUAUUGAACUCCUGCAUGUACCCACUAGGAUUCUGAUUCUUUAUCUUAACUUGCUGAUAUGUAGAGCACUUAGCCAUAAACUCUAUAACUUUUCUCUUUAAUCCACUCCACCAAUAGACCUCCCACAAGUUUUGAUACAUCUUUGUGGCCCCUAGAUGAAUAGAGUAACAUAUACCAUGCACUUCUGUGAGAAUUCGCUGCCUUAAGUCAUUUACACCUGGCACAUAGAGAUGACCCUGACAACGCAAAACACUAUCUCCCCCUUGAGAGAAAACCUCUACUUUCUGAUCCUUGACUAACUCUUUCAACUUGACAAGACUGGGAUUUCUAUCCUAAUUUUCUUUCACCUUAGAAACUAGAGAUGAUUCUGAACUACUCUGAACCCAUAUAUUACCCUCUGCUGAAUCAACUAUGCGGACACCUAGUCGAGCAAGCUGAUGAACUUCCUAAGCUAACUUCUUCUUACUUCUCUCAACAUGAGUAACACUACCCAUAGACAGUCUACAAAGAGCUUUGGCCACUACAUUAGCCUUGCCUUGAUGAUAAAGGAUGCUCAUGUCAUAAUCUUUUAAGAAAUCGAACCAUCUUCCCUAUCAAAUAAGAUUGAGAUAUUUCUGAGAAAGGACAUACUGAAGGCUCUUAUAACGUGUGAACACAUUUACAUGCACCCCAUACAAGUAAUGCCUCCAAAUCUUUAAGGUAAAACUACGGCUGCUAACUCAAGAUCAUAAGUUGGAUAAUUCUUCUCAUGGGGUUUAAACUGUCUGAAGGCAUAGUAUAUGACCUUACCAUGAUGCAUGAGGAGACAACCUAAACCUACUCUAAAUGCAUCACAAUACACUAUGAACCUAUCCGAACCAUUUGGAAGAGCCAAAAUUAGAGCUGAGGUGAGUCGAGUCUUCAACUUCUGAAAACUCUUCUCGCAAGGAUCUGACCACUAAAACUUAGCUUUUUUUUGAGUCAAUCUGGACAAAGGGGAUUCAAUAGAAGAGAAUCCCUCAACAAACCAUCUGUAAUAGCCAGCCAAACCCAAGAAACUCUUGAUAUCUGAUGGAGAGACAGGUCUGGGUCAGUUUCUUACUGUUUUGGUCUUUUGAGGAUCAACCCUAAUGCCAUCACCUGAAAUGAUAUAAUCAAGAAAUGCUACUGACCCUAUCCAAAAUUCACACUUACUAAAUUUGGCAAACAACUGAUGAUCUCUGAGAGUCUAAAUCACGAUUCUGAGAUGGUCUGUAUGAUCAUGCUUACUACAAGAAUAGACAAGGAUAUCAUCUAUGAAAACUAUGAUGAACAUGUCCACGUACUGCUUAAACACAGGGUUCAUCAAUUCCAUGAAAUCUAUUGGGGCAGUGGUAAGACCAAAGGACAUGACUAGAAAUUCAAAGUUACCAUACCGAGUAUGAAAAGCUGUUUUCAAAACGUCACAUUCUCUGACUCUGAGCUGAUGAUAGCCUUAUCUGAGGUCUAACUUAGAGAAAUAGCUGGCACCCUAAAUUUGGUCAAACAAGUCUUCGAUUAUGAAAAGUGGAUACUUGUUCUUAACCAUGACUUUAUUAAGUUGACGGUAAUCAAUGCACAUUCUGAGAGAACCAUCUUUUUUUUGCACGAAUAAGACUGGUGCGCCCUACGGAGACACACUGGGUCUCAUAAAUCCCUUAUCUAUAAGAUCCUUCAACUAUUCUUUCAAUUCUCUGAUUUCUGCUGGUGCCAUUCUGUAUGGCAGAAUAGGUAUAGGCUGAGUAUCUGGAAUAAGAUCAAUGCCAAAGUCUAUUUUCCUUUUGGGAGAAAUUCUUGGAAAAUCUUUGGGAAAGACAUCUGAAUAUUCAUUCACGAUUGGGAUUGAUUCAAGGUUGGGAGUUUUGGAACUAGAGUCCUUAACAUGAACAAGGUGAUAGACACAUCCCUUAGAUAUCAUUUUUCUGCCCGAAGGUAGGAAACAAGCUAGCCUCUGAAAGCUGAAGUAUUACCCCCUACUCCAGUAUGGGUUCAUUCGAAAACUAAAACUGGACAAUUUUGUUUCCGCAGUCGACUUUGGAAUAGCAGGAAUAAAGCCAAUCCCUGCUGAGAAUGACAUCAAAAUCAGUCAUCUUUAAUUCGACUAAAUCUGCUGAGAUGACUUUCUAAAAUAUUAUAAUCGAAUAAUUCCUGUAUACCCAUCGGGCUAUGAUGGUUUUACUCACUGGGGUAGAGACUGAGAAGGGAUCUACUAGAAUCUUGGGACUGACUCUAAAAUCAACUGUUAUAUAAGGAGUAACAAAAGACAAGGAAGCUCCUGGAUCUAACAAAGCGUAAACAAGCAAGUAAAAAAUCUGUAACGUACCAAUAACCAUAUUAGAGGAAUUUUCCUGAUCUUUUCGGGAUUGGAGAGCAUAAAGUAUGUUUGGGCGUUGUCUACUAUUAGCACUGGAAGUGACACCCUGUUGAUUUGGGCCACCAGACUGAGCUGAGGAAUGGUUCUGCUGACUUUGGGAACCUAUCUGAGGACAAUAUCUGACUCUGUGGCCUGGCUUACCACAUCCCAAAUAAAUAUCCCUGCCAGCUCUACAAAUACUCUGAUGGUGUUUGCCACAAGUUUGACAAAGAGGAUUAGUUUGGAGAUUGCUAAUGAUGCCCUAAGACUUAAAUCCUGGCGCCCUAUCUCUAUUACCAUUCCUGAACUUAGGAUCUAGAGAACUGGCUGAAGAACAAGCUGGAACUGAUAAACUUAGGACGAAACUAAGAAUGGUUUCCUCCCUCUGACUUAGGAUGAGCAAAGUUGAAACUACCUGUCUCUGCUAUCUUAUUCUGCUUCUCCCUCAUCUUAAUCUUUUGCUCUUCUAUCUACUGAGCAUGAGUCAUAAGCCUGGCUAUAUUCAUGUCAAUAUUCAACAUCGCAGAUCUGCACUCAUUGACCACACUAUCAUUCACCCCAGAAACAAGCUUACUCAUCUUGGCCCUGCUAUCUGCAACCACAUGAGGAGCAUAUCUGGCUAAUUGUGUAAACUUAAGAGAAUACUCUUUCACCAGCAUGUUGCCCUGCCUGAGGUUGAUAAAUUCUAACACCUUAGUUUUUAUCAUAUCUAAGGAAAAGAAUCUUUCUAAGAAUGCGGUGAAAAACUCCUCCCAUUCUAUAGAUCCUGCAUCAACUGACCUCUCUGACUUCCACUGCUUAAACCAAUUGUGAGAAACAUCCUGCAACUGAUAUACAGCUAGCUCAGGACUCUCAAUAGCUGACACCCCCAUGAUGUCUGUAACCUUUUGAACAUGAUCAAGGAAUUCCUGAGGAUCUUUUUCUGACUUAGACCCAAAAAAGAAUGGAGGAUUCAUUCGGGUGAAGUCUUAAAUCCUGGCUACAGCUGAAUUGGCCACUAGUUUGGCCGGAAUAAUAGUUGGUCAUUCAUUCUAAGCAGCAACUGACUGAGCAAGAGUAGUGAAUGCAGCUUUAAACUCUGCAUGAGAGACAUGCUCGCCCAAAGGAUUUUCAGGCUGAGGAGCUGACGAAUUCCUAGUUCUCUUCUUGGGAGACAUGUUCUGUACACAAAAGAGAAAGAGAUUAAACUGAGAGAUUAACUUGAAAUUAUGCUCAGUGGCAUUACAUGAAUACUAAAAAAUGGGAAACUGUUCCUAAACAUCUUAUAGCCUCCGGCACAUAAGUGUGGCGCGCAACACACCCAUGUACAAGACUCUACUAGAUGCGUCUUUCAGACUUCCUAGGACACUAUUGAACCUUAGGCUCUAAUACCAGUUUGUAAUGCCCCAAAUCUAGUACCUGGAAUGCUACACAGUGCUCAUGACCCCGAAGGACCACAAGCUAACCCAUGACUGAUAUCUGUAUCUGAAUACUGUAUAACAUCAUGUAAAAUGCGAAAAUAAUAGACUGAAACAUGUCAUAAAGUUCAAAAUAGAUAAAACAUAAUAUCUGAGAGUACGACAUAUUAAUACCAAAACAUGAACUGAAAUAAACUGUCUAAACAUACUGUAGUCUGAUAAACCUCUAACUGACUAAACUUUCCGAAUAAGGAGUUGAUGGGACAUAUCCCCAACUAACUCCAUCUACUAAAAGCUAAAAAUAAAUAAUGAAAUAAAUAAUAAUAUCAUCCUCAAAUGAUGAGGACUCACUGCUAAAUCUGGCUGCUGAAAUUUGGAGUGCUACUAAUACUUUGGAACUCGUGCUUCUGGACCUAUGGUAUAAAAAACCAUUGCAUAAUGCAUUAGUACGAUUGAAUAUAUUGGUAUAUAUGUGAGGUAGGCUGAAUACAGAGGGUUCAAAUGCAUGAACAAUGCUAACUGACUAUAUAGCAUGAACGUAAGAAUACAUGCAUGAAUAAAUGACUGUAACUGACUUUGUGAUGAUACUGACUACUGAGUAUGAAUACUGAUAACAUGAGUUACUAAUAAUUGAUACUGAGAAACUGUAUCUAACAAUCUAAGUUCUGAUGGAACUAGCUGAGUUUCAUACUGUUCUGAGUUAAUUGUAUCUAACAGUCCUGAAUUCUAUAAAACUAUCUGAGUUCUGUUACUGAGACUGAAACUAAAACUGUAACUAUGGGAAGUAGUUAUCUAACCGGUAUGCCCUAAAUAAAGUAAUAUAGCUGAGCUGGGGUCCAAUCUGUAACCCCAAUUAGAAGGGUGUCAAUACUACACCACCGGUAAGGACAAGCUGUGAGUGACCCUCAACUGGAAGGUACUCAAAUAAGAAUGGAGGGAACCCUCAACUGGAAGGUAAGCCACCUCAUCAAACCUCAACUGGCAGGGUAGAUGUCUCAACCUACGUUGGCUAUGUAGUUAUGGAGUGCAAGGAUUGCUUCUAAGAAUCUCACCCUCUACUGGCGUGUGAGUUCCCAUCCUUGGGUUCACUCGGUACUAAAUCCUACUCCCAUCUGAAUAGACACUGAGCAUGAUUAACUGAGCUGAACUGGACUGAGUUAACUGAGUUCCAUUGACUAAUGGAAUACUACUGAGAUUACUGAAUUACUGAGCUUUCCUGAGUCACAUGACUGACUGAGUUCUAUUGACCAUGGCUUGACUGAGAGUAUCGUGAAAACAUGACACUGGCUCUAGGCACCCAACUAAGUUGUCGGGUACAAGUAUCCCCAGGACUCGAUAGAAGGAAACUGACAAGGAAGGACAUUCUUGAAUACAUGACCAACAUCAACAAUCCACAAUAUAAUAAGUUGGGGAUUUCAUGAAGCACAUGGUUAUCAUAAACUUGUACAUGGUAGGAAUGCAUAUAAUAAGUAUCAUAAUUUCAUACUUUAACAUCAUGAGCAUUCCAACAAAUAUCUACAUUACACAUCAAUAGCAUGGGAUUCAUUUGAACAUAAGGGUAAGACAUGCAUUUAUCAUAUGGGUUACAAUUGAGCUAUAAUACACAAUUUCUAUCCUCUUAGGCAUUUUAUCAAACACCUUACAUAUACAACUUAGGGAAUAGGUGUGAUCAUCAAAUUACACAUUAUGAAAAACUCCAUUCAUGGAUUUCAACUUGCAUGCUAACGUAGUUUCAUGAAAAACACGUAAAGAUUCCAACUUGGGAAUCGUACAACAAGAUAAACAUAGUUACAAAAUAACCCACAACAUAAACAUCAUGAUUUAUAAUUUGAAAUAGGGUUCUUGAGCUUUAUGGAUGAAAGGAAUCCAUAAAUCAACACUAUGCAUACCUUGGAUGAAAGAUUCUUGAAAACAAAUAGUGAAAUUCUUGAAAUUGGAUCCUCAAUUGGAAACCCUAAGCUUGUUCUUGAUGGAUUUGAGAGAUAAACCACCAUAAUUUGGGUGAAAUUGGGAUGAAUUACGUGUUUGUGACUUAUAUAGGGGUGGAAAAUUGACCCUUUUGCCCUUGAAGAUGCAGUUAUUUAAUGACUAAAACUGGGUGCCGAUGCUACAAGCGACACAACGCGUUGAUGGUUGCGACGCGAUACUCGAUAUAUCAUGCCAUGAUCACGUCAAGCCUUAGAAGUUUUGGCUCUGGAAGCCUAUAAAAAUGUUGACCAACACUAUUGGCGACGCGGCGUGCCAAGAUCGCGUUGAUCCACUAUUUUGGGACUCUAAACAUGAUCUAACUGUGUUCCAAAAAAUCCAAAACUUAUUUGGAAACACCUACUGACCUUUCUAAUCAUGAAUUACUGAAAAUACGGGCCAUUAAAGGACAUUAAGAUUGGGAGAUGAGAUUGCCAACUUUUGAAGGCCAAAAUAGGCUAAUUUGGGAACUUGGUUAGAAUUUUCUAAGUCUGGAACCCUUUGACAAACUAAAAGGACUGAAUUAAGCUUAGAAGUUUUGCGGGGUCUUACAGCUUCAUUUUGCCCUGAUUGAGAUUGUUCAGGAAGUUUCUCCGAAUCUAUCUGUACUCCAACCUUUUUUGUUGGGUGGUCAGAAGUUGAUCCACUUUCAGUUUCUUUUCUUUUGGGAGACUUCUUUUAACUGCAAACAAUAGAAAAAUAAAAAAUACAUUGUAUUUAAUGUUUGCAUAAUUUUUUUUAAGCAAAAAAACUAAGAUAAAUUUCAGAAAAUUAUUCUACGCCACAUUACAAAAAAAAAAUACUCCAACGGAUAAACCAUCAAUUGGAACAGAUGAGAAUCUGUUUGAAGACCUAUUUAAUAUCUCCCAACAGAUAUUUCACCUAUUAUAACAGAUAGACCACCAACACCACAACUAAUUCCACCACCAAUGCCACCAAGACCACCACCAAUACUACCAAUACCAACACCAAGACCACCGACACCACCAACAAAACCACAAGUACCAACACCAACAACAACAUCCACCAACACCACCACAAACACCAUUCAAUAAUACCACAACAGUCAACAAAACACUGAGAUAAAAACUAGGGCUUUCUCGGGUGCUUUCUAUUUUUUAGCCUCAAAACAUAAAAUUGUUAACCCAUUUUCGCAGAUAAUACAACUAAAAGUCUUUUUUUCAUUAUUAACUAAAAAUUCCUAAUUUUUAGAUUAAAGAAUAAAUGAAGAACUCUUCUCAAACUUUGUUACCUGCAAAAACGGAGAAAACAACGGAUACAAGCAAAAAUAAAGUCAAAAAUAACAACUAUGUGGUCGAAAAUGGAAAGAAAAUUGAUUUGUUUUGAAGGGUUGAGCAAUAUGUUGAGUAGUUGUUGUCUGUAUUAAUGAGAGAGAGGGGGGGGGGUGAAGUGAGAACUUAAGAUUUGAAUUGAGGAAAAGUUUUUUUCCACAAAUGGAUGAUUUGUAUGGGUUGAUUUGUAAUUUUGAAAAAGAAUGACAAGUUUUGAAAUUGUUAAUUUGAUUUUCACCCUUUUGUGGGCUUUCAUCGAGUAAAGCAGGCUUGACAAGAUGUGAAUCACAUGCUUAUAAAAAGAAAAUGGAAUCAUUUUCAGGGAAGACGAUUCAACUACCAAAUUGAUCUUAAUUAUUUUUUAAAAUUUUAAAAGAUAUAUUCCCUCUGUUUCAUUUUAGUUGACCCUUAUUGACUUGGAACACCCCUUAAGAAAUUAUUUAAUAGAGGCUUAUUUUACUAAAAUUACCCUAAUAAUUAUGCAUUGAAAAUAUGAAUUUGAGUAAAUACACUUUGUUUAAUCAUUUAAUGUUGAGGGUAAUAUUGGAAGAACAUAAUAAAAUCCUCUUGAUUUCAUCAAAGGGACAACUAAAUUGAAACAAAUAUUUUUAAAAAGAGGGCCAACUAAAAUAAAAAGUAGGGAGUACUAGUUUUAAAAAUAUUAAGUUAAUGAGAGCGAUUUUCAACUCAGUUUGAUCGAUCGACGACCUGGAUCGGGAUGAACGCAAUACCAACGCCAAUUACAAAGACUCAGUUGAAGUUGUAGUUGACCCUAUGAUCUCAUUCAUUUAUCCCUAGUUCCACCUAAAUCAAUGUAGGUAUUAUUAAUCUGAACAUUAAGUUAAUGAGAUCGAUUGAUGACCCGGGUCGAGAUGAACUUAAUACCAACGCCAAUUGUAAAGACUCAGUUGAAGUUGUAGUUGACCAUAUGAUCUCAUUCAUUCAUCCCUAGUUCCACCUAAAUCAAUGUAGGUUAUAUUAAUCCCAAUAUUAAGUUAAUGAGAUCGAUCGACGACCCGGAUCGGGAUGAACGCAAUACCAACGCCAAUUGCAAAGACUCAGUUGAAGUUGUAGUUGACCCUAUGAGCUCAUUCAUUCAUCCCUACUUCCACCUAAAUCAAUGUAGGUAAUAUUAAUCCCAACAUUAAGUUAAUGACAUCGAUCGACGACCCGGGUCGAGAUGAACGCAAUACCAAUGCCAAUUGCAAAGACUAAGUUGAAGUUGUAGUUGACCCUAUGAGCUCAUUCAUUAAUACUAGUUCCACCUAAAUCAAUGUAGGUAAUGUUAAUCCCAACAUUAAGUAAAUGAGAUCGAUCGACGUCCUGGGUCGAGAUGAACGCAAUACCAAUUCCAAUUGAAAAGAAUAAGUUGAAGUUGUAGUUGUCCCUAUGAGCUCAUUCAUUAAUCCCUAGUUCCACCUAAAUCAAUGUAGGUAAUUUUAAUCCCAACAUUAAGUUAAUGCGAGCUCAUUUCAACUCAGAGUGAUCGAUCGAUGACCCAAGUCGGGAUGAACAUAAUUUUUAAUAGAUAUUCACGUCUAUUGCAACAGAUGACAUAUCUGAUUUAAUUAUCAAAUAAACAUUUGAAUCUGUUGUGAUAGAUGACUGAGCUGUUGGAAAUUUUCAAACAAAUAUUGGUAUCUAUUGUAACAGAUGAUAUAUUUGUUUGAAAAUCUUUUUUUCUUUCAAUUUUACAGUAAGCUUCUAUCCAAGUAAGAGUUACUAGUAAGAGUAAGUACUACAAAAUGCGGCAAAAAAUGAAGAAUUUCUUUUUCUUGGAUAACCUAAAAAUAUGUUCAUUGAGUAGUUUUAUCUUGUUUUUUCAAUUUCACUAGUCAUCUGUUAGAACAGAUAUCAACAGAUAUUUAAUUAUCAAAUGGAUAUCUGUCGUCACAGAUGACUGAGCUAUUGGGAUAUUUAAACAGAUAUUGAUAUCUAUUAUAACAGUUGUCAUAUUUAAUUAUCAAAUAGAAAGGAUUUUUUAAACAGAUAUUUGUAUCUGUUGUAACAGAUGACUGUGUUGUUAGGAUUUUUAAAUAGAUAUUGCUAUCUGUUGUAACAGAUGACAUAUCUGUUUGAAAAUAUUUUUUUUCUUUCAAUUUUAAAGCAAGCUUCUGUCUAAGUAGAUAAAGUAGUAAGUACUACUUACAAAAUGCCGUAAAAAAUAAAGAGUUUCUUUUUCUUGGAUAACUCAAAAAUAUGUUCAUUGAGUAGUCUUAUCUUGUCUUUUCAAUGUAACUAAACUAAGUCUUCCUCGUGCCCUCAAAUUAUUAAUGAAUAUUAAUUAUAUUAAUUAAUGAAUAUUGAAACCCACAUCUACGUACACGAUACAUCUAGAAUUAUCUCAUCUCCUCAGCUUCACUCCUAAAUUUAUUUUAUUCAUCUCCCAUCUUUUUCUUUCUCUCCUCUUUAGCUUAGGAUUUCACAACCUUUUUUCUCUCUUCUCUUUCUCAUAAAGAUCCUUUCGGAUCUUAACCAAUCCAUAUCUUUCCUCGACUGAAAUUAUUGUUUUGAUCCCCUUAUGACGAUAAGGUAUGGUUCAUUAUUGCUCUUUCAUUCUCGUCUUCUUCUUUACAAGUUAUUACAUCUGUUUUUUAUUUAAUUACCAUUUACCCAUAUGAUAUUUAUUUAAAAAAUUUAAAGGAACUUUUAAGUGUUGAAUAAACAAAUCUAGAAUUUUUAUUAGAAUAUCCGAAAAAAAAUGUUUUAUUGGGAGAAGUUUAAAAGCCUUGUUGGUAGUAUCAUUUUUUGGUAUGUAUUUUGUUUAUUUCUUUGUUGUUUAUGCUGUUAUAGAUGUUGUUGGUGGGGUUGGCAUUUUUAGAAGUUAUGGUGUGUUGUUUUUUAUGGUGUUGGAACAAAGAAUGUUGCUUCUUUGUUGUUGCUAAUGUUGAAACAAAUGUUCUUAUUUCUUUGUUGUUGAUAUUUUUUUAUUUGUGUUUCUUUGUAGCUUAUGUUGUUGAUGUUGCAAUAGAUGGAGCAACUAUUGGAACAAAUCAAACCACCAGCAAGGCUGGUUUGAUGUAUUCCAACAAACUCUAAAUUUGUUGCAACAGAAUCCACAUCUGUUGCAACAGACUCCACAUCUGAUGCAACAGAUUCUAUAUCUGUUGAAUAAAUGAAUAAUAUUUUUUCUGAUAAAUAAUGUUGUAGAUAUAAGGAACUAACAGUUGAUCAACUUUUGCCCGUCUAUCACAAGAGGCUGCAAUAAAGAUGGGUUCAGAGGAAUAAGCUGCAUGCAGAUGGAACCAAUUCAUAUGUGGGAGGUAUGUAUUACUGAUAAUGCUAUCGUGGAAACACACAUAGAGUAUACUGAUUUUGUGAAUACUAUUUUUACCAAUUUGUCAUAGAUCAUUCAAACAAGAUAUCUGCAAUUUUACAGUUAAGUUUGGUAGGUUCGAACUGAUAAGAUCGAUGGACCAUGAAUAUGGUUCUGAUACCCUGUUAAGAUUUAUUUUCGCUUGUUGCUUAUAUUUCUUUGUCAAGCAUUGUAAAGGGAUCUAGUUUUGGUGUCGUUGUAAAGAGAUUCAAUAGCGAUUGGACUAACUUUUAGGGUGCAUUGGACUCUAAGAAGGCCUUCAAAGCCUAGCACAACAUCUAAAAAGAAUGAAAAACCAAUAAAGUUAUUACCCUAGCCUAAAUUUAUAUGGUUGGGUUGCUCGGGGUGAUGAUUAUACACUAUUAGGUGCGGUACGAGAAUGCCUUUGAGGAAAAAUAGGUGGUUGAUAAAAGAUUAUAUCAUCUGAGAGCUAAUUGAAGAGGAGACGUAGGAUAGAAGGUAACUUCUAGCGAAUCUGGCCGAUGAAAUUAUCUUAAAACGACAUGAGAAAUCUGAAUCAAGUGCAAAUAUGAAAGUGUAAUCGACAAUGUAAAUUCAUCUAUUGUCUCUCUGAAAGAAAAAUAGUACAGAUUGACACUUUUCUAAGGAGCUGCAACUAGGUAGCGUGGUCGGGAUUAUCACCUAGAUAGAAAAUAGUAGAAGUCCAAGAAAGCAGCCUUACGGGCAUCGAGGGUUGAAAUGAUGUACAGUAAGUCUAGAAAACUUCCACCAACAACAACUGCAGUUAAAGUAAGGAAUCUAAGAGAAGGAGCCAAUUUUUAAAUUUUAAAUUUCAUCCUAUGCCUUCUUGUUUGUGGUUUCGAUUAGGUCCAUUGUUGUUAACCUGAUCGGAACCACAAACGUGAUUGAAAGGCAAAUGGAGUAUCAUUACUUCCAUAUCAAUAUGGUUAUAAUUGAUUGUGUUUUAUAGCCUUAGCAUGCUUUCAACAUUUCUUUGAGAAGAUCAGAGGCUUGCUGUAGUACGUGAAUCCCGAUAAUUUUCAAGUUUUCCUCCAUCUUGCUUAUUCUGUAUUCAAGCUGGUCGUUGCCGUCUUCAAAGUUGGUCAAGAAGUCCUGGUAUCUUGUGAGAUUUAUCAGGAACACCACCUUUAAAGUUGUGGCAUUUUAGAUGGACUUCAGAACAUUCUCUUCAGCAGCCUUAAAGGAUACAUAGAGGGUCGCUGUGUUUAUUUUAGGUCAAAAUAUGUUGAUGCACACUCAAGAUGCGGUCCCAACCGUUGAACAUCACACUUUUAUCGAGCGUUGCUCAAUGCAUCUUGCUCAACCAAUUUGAUAAAUUAAUAAGCAAGGAGUUACGUAGCUUCUGAUCUAAACUGACUCUACCAAGCCUAUAAAAUGUUACGUAACUCCAGGCCCAUAACCCUAUAAAAAAAUUGGCUCGAGAUAGUGCAUAAAUCAAACAAGUUCAAUCCCUCAGGAUUUAUGCUGAUCGCUUUUCUCCAAUUAUAGAUGAUAAGAUAUCUGCUAUGCAAAAUUCUACACCAUCGCCAGAAAUGCUUGCCAGGGCUCAAGAUGAAUUGACAAACCAAAAAAAGAUGAAUUAAAUGCUAGAUUUAGUUCUUCUUUGUUUAGUUUGUUAAAUAAAUAACAUGUGAAUGCAAAUGAAAAUAUUUCUGCCUUUUCUUUUGUACAAGGAGUGAAUCUGGUGAGGUUGUUGAUGCCAUAAUUAUGUGUAGUCAUUGCUGAAAACUUUCUUAUUUUCGAUUGUCUUCUAAAGACUUUCGUACAAGACUUCCUUGAUGUUAAGAGAUUACUAAUAAUGCCUUUCCAAGACUUUCGCUCUAGCAAGAAUUUUCGCUGACGGUGUAGACUUUCGCAUGGCAAAUAUCUUAUCAUCAACAGAAAUUCUUGUCGUAGCGAACGUCUUGAGAAGGUAUGAUUAGUAAUCUCUUAAUAUCACUCGAAACUAAGAGAUUACUGAUGCUAUCUAAAAACUUGCGCCCUGACAAGCAUUUUUGGCGACGGUAUAGACUUUUGCAUUGCAGAUAUAUUGUCAUCUAUAAUUGGAGAAGAGCGAUCAGUAGAAAGCCUGAGGGAUUAAACUCGUUUGAUUUGUGCACUACCUCGAUCAAUUUUUUUUAUAGGGUAAUGAUCCUGGAGUUACGGUUACGUAACGUUUGAUAGGCUUGGUAGAGUCGAUUUAGAUCACACGCUAUGUAACUCCUCGCUUAUUAAUUUAUCAAAUUAGUUAAGCAAGCUGCAUUAAGCAACGCUCGAUAAAAGUGUGUUGUUCAACUGUUGGGACCACAUCUUGAGUUUGCAUCAACACAUUUUGACCUAAAACAAACACAAUGAUCCUUCAUGUAUCCUUUAAGGCUUCUGAAGAAAGUUUUAUGAAGGUUUUCUUCAAUGCCACAACUUUGAAGGUAGUGUUCCUGAUUGAGUUUACAAGAUAUCAGAAACUCUUGACCAACUUCAAAGAUGGCAACGAUAAGCUUGAAUACAGAAUCAACAAGCUGGAUACAAGCUUAAAAAUUAUCAAAAUUCACAAACUAGAGCAAGCCUCUGAUCUUCUCCAAGAAAUGUUAAAAGCAUGCUAAGGCUAUAAAACACAAUCAAUUAUAACCAUAUUUCUGUGGAAGUGAUGAUACUCAAUUUUUCUUUUAAUCACGUUUGUGGUUCCCAUCAGGUCAACAACAGUGGACCUAAUCGUAACCAUAAACAAGAAGGCGUGGGAUACAAUUUAAAAUUCAGAAAUUACCGCCUUCACUUAGAUUCCUUACUUUAACUGCAGUUGAUGUUGGUGGAAAUUUUCUAGACUUAUUGUACAUUAUUUCAACCCUCGAUGCCCGUAAGGCUGCUUUCUUGGACUUCUAUGAUUUUCUAUAUAGGUGAUAAUCCCGACCACGUUACCUAGUCGCAGCUCCUUAGCAAAGUAUCCAUCUGCAUUAUUUUUCUUUCAGAGAGACAACAGACGAAUUUACAUUGCUGGAUACACUUUGAUGUUUGCACUUGAUUCAGAUUUCUCAUAUUGUUUUUAGAUAAUUUCAUCGGCCAGAUUCGCUAGAAGUCUUACUUUCUACCCUAUGUCUCCUCUUCAAUUAGCUCUCAGAUGAUAUAGUCUUUUAUUAACUCCUCUUGCCCUCGCAGGCAUUCUCCUUCGGCUCUUUCUGGCGUAUAAUCAUCUUCUCGAUCAACCCUUCCAUAUAAAUUUGGCCAGGGAAAUUUCUAUUGGUUUUUUGUUCUUAUUUGAUACAGUGAGAGACUUCGAAGGUGUUCUCAGAGUCUAAUGCACACUUAAAGUUAAGUCCAAUAGCUAUUGGUUCUCUGUAAUGACACCAAAUAUUGAUCCCUUCUCAAAACUUGACACGCAUAAACACGUGCAACAACCGUCAGUAAUUCGUAACAGGGUAUCUGCACCAUCUUCAUGAGGCCCUCAACCUUGUCAAUUCAAACCCAUCAAAAUUUACAAUGAAGGAUCUUGUUUGAAUGAUCAAUGCCUAAUCGGUUAAAAACUGCACUUACAAAAACAUUGUACUUUGUGUGUGUUGUCCCGGUGACCUUAUCAAUAAUACUUCUUAACUUACAUACAUAUGAUAGUGGAUCCAUCUGAACACACCUUAUUCUUUCUAGACCAUCUAUGGCUUAAAUUGAAUAAACAGAUGACUGGCAAGUUGCAACAGAUGCCACAUCUGUUGGAAAAGAAAAUUGAUAUAUCCAUCUGUUGCAUUAGAUUGUCAAUAUGUUGUAAGUUAUCCGACAGGUGGAUUAAAUUUUGCAACAGAUUACACAUCUGUUAGAUUUAUUUUAAAUCAAUUUUCUUUUCUUUUCGAAAUACAAUAAAAAGAUAAAAUGUUGUAUUUAGAUCCAUUUUAUCCAUUUUUUAAAAAAUUUAUAUAUUCAAAAAAUCACCAAUUUUAUUUAAUUAAGGGAUAUAUGAACAGUCGUGGCUUCUUGUUUGACUAUUAGUCACCCCUUUCAAUUCAAUCAUUUAUAAAUAGGUCCCUCCGGCCUCCUGUCCUUACUCUCUCUCACUCGUUCAUUCUACUACACUUACAGUACCAAUAUGGCUGAUCUAGAUUCGUACAAGAAGAUUCAUAUAGAGUCCUUGCAGGAACUUCAAAGGCAGUUGGAUGACCUUCAGAGGGAUUUGACCGACUUUAGAGCAAGGUUGAGGAGGGCAGCCCUGCUACUGUCGGAUGAAAAUUGUCCGAUUGACAACAAUAAUAGUAAUAGUAAUAAUAAUAAUAAUAAUAGUAAUGAUAAUAAUAAUAGUAGUAAUAAUGAUUAGGUUAUGUUUUUUCUUUCUUUUAGUGUAUGUAUUGGUUUGGUUUGGUCGACUUUUAAUUUUUAAUUCUUAUUUAAUAUUUAAUUAUCAUUCUAUUUAUUCCAUAUUCUCAACAUUUCGAUGGUUGAGGGUAGGGAUUGAGCACUCGUGGCAACAGAGGGUGGGUGGUGAAAAGUCAUGAUUCUCCUAAAAAUGAUUCGUUGAUAAAUAAUAAGGAACUAAAUGAUAUACACAAUUUAUAACCGUAAAAGAAAGAUUAUUUAAUUUAAAAAGAAGUUGCAUCAUUGGAUUAUAUGAUGAUUGUUAAGGAAAAGGUAAAUAGUCAUGAUUGUGACUUUUUGUCUAAACACAUUUAACAAACAAAAACAAACAACGUUGCUGAUGCAUCAAAUUCCUCAUCUGUUGCGACUGAUGAAUGAAUUGUUAGAAGAAAUAAAAAAAACUCCUAAAACAGAUAGUCGAUUUGUUGCAACAGAUGGUAUAUUUGCUUCAACAGAUGGAUUAUCUGAUGCAACAGAUAUACAAUCUAUUGCCAUAACUCAAUAAAAAUAAUGCUUAUUAUUUUAUUAAAGAAACGGUUAUUGAAAACCAGGUGUCUUCGAUUUUUAAAUUAAGAAAAAGGUUAUUUAAAUUUAAGAACUAAUUAUUAUAAUAAAAAUAAGCUCAAAAGUCAUGACUUUUCACAAUAAUAAAAAACUCACCAGCUUGAUUUAAUUAAGUCAUUUUUUCACAAAAAACAAUAAGAAAAUAAAUGAUAAAACAUAAUUUAAACCGUAAAAAUCUCCUAAAAAAUAUUCUUGUUUUUAAAUCUGUUUUAUUAAUUUAUAUAAUGAAAAGGUCACCAAAUUUGGAUUAAUGAUAUGACUAUAAUUUUUUUUGAAAAUAAGAUAGAUUAUAUGUUGCAACAGAUUUAUUAUCUGAUGCAACAGGUUAUCUAUUGUGCAACGGAUGAUAUAUCUGUUGUCACAGAUGAGUUAUCUAAUGCAACAAAUAUAUAAUCUGUUGUCACAACUCAGUAUAAAAACGGUUCUUGGAAAGAACUAAUUAUUAAUAAUAAUAAGCUGAAAAGUCAUGAACUAUCUCAAUAUUGCAUAAUUUAAUUAAGUCAUAACUUUUUACAGUAAUCAUGAAUGUCAUUAAUAAAUGGAGGUGAACAGUUGCGCCUUUAAAUCUGUUUUAUUAAUUUAUAUAAUUAAAAAGUCAGAAAAUUUGGAUGUCGUGAUGAUAAUUUUUUUAAAAAAAAGAUAUAUAGAUUAUAUAUUACAACAGAUAUAUUAUCUGAUGCAACGGGUUAUCUAUUUGUUGCAACAGAUGAUAUAUUUAUUAUCACAGAUGAGUUAUCUGAUGCAACAGAUAUAUAAUCUGUUGUCACAACUCAGUAUAAAAGCGGUUCCUGGAAAGUCAUGACUUAUCGCAAUAUUGCUUAAUUUAAUUAAGUCAUAACUUUUUAUAAUAAUCAAGAAUGUUAUUAAUAAAUGGAGGUGAACAGUUAAUUAAAAAGUUAGAAAAUUUGGAUGUCAUGAUGAUAAUUUAAAAAAAAUAAGAUAUAUAGAUUAUAUGUUGUAACCGAUAUAUUAUCUGAUGCAACAGGUUAUCUAUUUGUUGCAAAUAUCUGUUGUCACAGAUGAGUUAUCUGAUGCAACAGAUAUAUAAUUUGUUGUCACAACUCAAUAUAAAAAUGAUUCCUGGAAAGAACUAGUUAUUAAUAAUAAUAACUGAAAAGUCAAGACUUAUCACAAUAUUGCUUAAUUUAAUCAAGUCAUAACUUUUCACAGUAAGCAAGAAAUGUCAUUCAUAAAUAGAGGUAAACAGUUGCGACUUUUUGCUUAACACAUUCAAGUUCAAUCCUCUAUAAAUUGGUCUCUCCUUACUCAAUCGUUCAUUCUAAUGCACUCUAUUGAUACCUUGCUCUUGUUACACCUUCAACUACUUUCUCUUCAAAGACUUGAUUAUUUUUUCCUAUCUCUGGUAAGUUUUCUAUAUGUCUCUCUUCCUGUCAUUUUGCUAUUCAAUUUGAAAUACUUGAACGAUCGAUUCUUAUUUUUUAUCUUCACUUUCGCCUAAAAACGGAGGAAUGUCUCAUUAAUUAUAACUAACCAUUCUAUUAAACAAUUUUGAAAUAAAUAUAGAAUGAGAGAUAUAUAUGAUAUAGAAUCAAAUAUAGAACUGUAAAAAAAUAAAUUCAAUUUUUGUGUAAAUAUACAUUUAUUACGUUUGAAUUCUUUUUUUUUCUUUACUUUUAUUUUUACGUGUGUGUUUUGUCAACUUAUGCAUUUUCUCUAGAUAUCGCUAUUCCAGUGUGGGAUGUCUCUAUUUUACGAGACGUCAUGCGGGAACUGCAGAAGGAGGUUCAUAACCUAUAGUGGGAGUUGGCCGCCGUCAGGGUAAGGAUGCUGCGGGAGAUCCUCAGGCUGAGGAGGGCGCUGCUACUGCCGGUUGAAGAUUGGCCGGCUGACCAUACAAAUAAUAAUGAUGAUAAUAAUAAUUAAGCAUUUUCUUUUCUUUUACCUAUGUAUUUUUAUAUAUUUUUUUUAAUAAAAAAUUUAUGUUCGAUACAUUUGACGUUUUAAUUCUUAUUUAAUUUUCAUAUUGUUUAUUUUUUUCUCAACAAAUGACAUGUCUACAAUUAAGGAAUAAUUUGAAUCCAGGAUCAAUAGCAAGAGAUUAACAUAUGAGUUAUUUGUUGGGUUUAUGACAGGAGCUGUAUUUUGUUGUUCGAAACAAAUUAUUCAUGUGUUGCAACAGAAUAAUUAUCUGUUUCAACAGAUUACUUGUCUGGUGCAGCAGAUUACUUGUCUGUUGCAACAAACAACUAAUCUGGUGUAACAGAUUAUUUAUCUGUUGCAACAGAUUAGUAAUUUGGUAUAACAGAUUAUUAAUCUGUUAAAAUAGACAACUAAUCUGGUGCAACAGAUUAUUAAUCUAUUGCAACAGAAUACCCAUAUAUACUAUUCUUAUUACAGGCACCUAGAACCAUAAUCAUGAAUCCAACAUGAGUCUACUGUUGCAACAGAAUAUUUAUCUGGUGCCACAGAUGAUGGAUAUGUUUAAACAGAUUACUCUUAUGUUGCAUUCAUGUUAGCGUGCUAGCUAUUGUUGCAAAAGCAGCACACUAGCAGUAACUCAGAUGACAAAUUCAACUAAAAAGCAUAAUUUGACUUACCAAAGUCUCCUCUCAAAGUAAAUGUCAAAGCUGAAAGUGAUGUACGGAAUAAAAUUUGACCUUAAAAAUUGGUCAAACAGAAGCAGUUGCGGUAACAACAACAACAACAAUGGUCAACAAGAAGAAUACGAAGAUGAUAAUAAAGUAUAAGAUGAUGAUAAUGAAUAAUAAAACAGCAACAACAAUGAGAAACAAAUAUCGUGAAGAGAGAGAAAAUAAUGACGGAUAGGGAGAGAGAAAAACGCGUCUUUUUCCCUUCGUUUCCCGUUAUAUUAACUAAUAUUUGAAUCAAAAUAUAAAUUUAAAAACUUAUGGGUUAUUUUAAAAUUUUCCAAACUUUCUUAAUCCAUAGUUAAGUAAUUGUCACCUUCACUCCAUUAUUAAGACUUAUAUCACCUACACCUCAUUUUAAAUUUUUUUUUAAUCACCAAUAGCCCAAAACCCCAUGUAAUAUGGUGGUGAAUUUCCUUUCUCAUGAACUCCUGUCAUGUUUUUUUACUCUUGUACCAUCGGUGUAAGUUUUGAAAUUAAAAAUUAAUGUUAGAUAUUAAUUCAUGAAAAAAAUAAAACCAAAAAAAAUAUAUAUUAUAAGCCUAAAUCAAACCAAAAGAAACAAACAAAUUGCAAAACAUCAAUAAUAAAACAAAUGGAAAAACGUGGUAGAGAUCUUAUAUAGUCACCGACGGCCACGGGUUUGAACUUUGGCUCAACUCUGGUAAUAUCAUAUUCUUUUUCUUAUAAGAUAUUUUAGAACUCAUUAAUUUAUAAAAUAUAACUUUUUUUUUAUCAAAUAUUUUAAAAUUCUUUAAUUUUUAAAAUAUAUUUUUAGAAAAGGUGUAUUCUUUUUUUAGAAUUCAAUGUACUACUUACCCUAUAUUUCAGGAUUCCUAAUUUUAGAAAAAGUCUUACUAUAUUUUUUAAAGUAAUGAUGCCAUAUGCUCUAGGAUUCAAUGUAAUUAUAAAUAAAUAAUAAUUUGAGAAAAAUAGUAAAAAGAUAAUUUUGCGUAAAGCAGAAACUUUUACUGAAGGAUAACAAGUUCAAACAAUAUUUUUAAGGUCCUUCACACUUUUAAUAUAUUAUAGAUAUAGAUAAUUACAUAUAUAUGGUCAUAUUUAAUGAAUUUCAAUUAUGACAUAUAUAAUAUUUACAUUAAUAGCCGUUUUCUCAUAUUUAAAAAUUUCAAAUAUGGAUGUUAUAUUAACAGAUCACUGCUUCCUAUUUUUUAAGUAACAAAUAUUAUCUAUCAAACAAAUUUAUUUUUUUAGGAAUUUAUUUAAUUUAUUUUCUUUAUUUUUCAUUUCUAAAAAAUAGAAAAUGAUGAGUUGUUAUUAAAUUUUAGGGUGCCGCUAAUUUAUUUCUUUAAUUUUCUUAUACAUGAAAGAUUUUAUUGUGCGUGAAUAAAUUAUUUCUAUGUAAAACAUACUUUGCAUAUUUAUGGUAUAUUAUAUCAUAUACCAUAAAUAUAUAAAUAUACUUAGUAUGUUUCUUUAUACUUUAUAUAUUUCUAUAUGUGUGUAUAUGGUAUAUAAACAUACUUUGUAUAUUUAUGUUAUAAAUAUACUUAGUAUGUUUCUUAAUACUUUGUAUUAUUAUAUAUGUAUGUAUGUAUAUAAUAAAUACCUGAUAUAAACUUUAUAUAUAACAUACUUUGUAUAUUUCUGUUAUAAAUAUAAUACUUUAUAUAUUUAUGAGUAUAAAUAUAAUACUUUGUGUAUAAAGAUACCAAGUACUAUGGUAUAUAAAGGUAGCAGUUGCAGUUUAAUAUAUAAAUUUGUUAAAUUAAAUAUAUUUUUUUAUUAAAAAUAUGUAUCACCGAUUUAUAUUUUUAGCAUAUAUAUGGUAUAAACUAUUUAUAUUUGAAUAGUAUAAUAAAGAUGUACACAAUAUAAUAUAUAUAAUCAAAUUAAAAAUGAAAAUAAUUUGUGGUAGUGGUAAACUAAUCUGCUACAUUUUUAUUAAUUUUAUAAAUAUAGAAAACGAUUAUCCAUUAUUAAUUACACGACUAUAAUUCCUUAAACGUCCGUGUCACAACAGAAAAAUUAUUAUUAUUAUUAUAAUUAUUAUAUUAUAGUAAUUAGAAUUAUUAGUAAUAAAAUAAUGUCUUAAAUAACAUAGAAAAAUAAUAAUGAGAGAGAAAAAGAGAUAUAUAUUAAUUAGGAUAGCAUUAAGUUUGAAAUUAUAACUAUAUUUUUUUUAUAUAUAUGUAAUAUUGAAAAAAUAAUGUUAUAAGAAGAAUUUUACGUAAAAAUUUAAAAAAAUUAGGAUUAUAUAUAAUAAUAAAAGUUUAAAUUGAAGUUAAAAAAUUGUGAAAAUAUCAAAAAUUUAUUUUCCUUUUUUUCAAAAAAAAAAUUUAAAAUUAUUUUCUAAAUUUUCAUGGCCAAAUAUCAUAAUUUUCAACUUCAAAAAAAAUUGUUAGAAUAAAGGAAAAUAUUUUCAUAUUCAAACGGCACUAAGUCAAACAACCCACGAAAACCAAUAAUCAGCUUGUGGUAUCUCAAAUAAGAAAAUCUAUCUAUUUAGAAUUUAGGAACAAAAGAGUGUUAAUAUACUUUUAUAUUGAUAUCUUAUUAAUGAGAGAAAAAUUCAAAGCUAUGUUCCCUUAACAGACAGUCAUAACAAACAGUCAAAACUUAGAAGAUAACAUAUCAUAACAAAAUGAUCAAACUCUUAGUAAUGAAUGCUAAAUUGAAACUAGAAAACAAUCGCAUACCACGGAUUUAACAUGUGAAAAAUAAUCUGAAGGUUCCAAGCAUGUAAAAACAUAGAUAAAAUAAUAAUAGUAAAUAUAUAUAUAUGAAAAAGAGACUCCACCCUAGUGAAGCAUUUUCCGGUCAGAUUUGGUGGUGACAAUGGGCGAAGGGGAGAGGUUGCUUCCACGGCAAUGCCGGAGCAACACCGGAGAAGCAAGAAAAAGGGCCAAAUCUGACCAUUUUCGACCUUCCAGUGGCAAAAAGGGAGAGGGAGAGGUGCUGCAAUGGAGGUGUUCGUCGGUGGACUUCCGGCAAAGUGACUGGAGGACGGCUGUGGCAGUCUUUCCCGGGUAACUGGCGGCGGCGAUUUUCACGGCUGCCAGCGGUUAGUUGAUGAGGAAGAGAGGGAAUAAAGAAGUCGUGGUGUGGUUAAGAUGAUGGCGGCGCUGGUGGAGCAAUGGCCUUCGCCGGCCAGUGUUUGGCGGCAGCCAUGGUGAGAGAGAGAGUGGGAUCCGAUGGGAAAUAUGCGUGUAUAUGUGUGUAUUGUGUGGUGUGAGUAUUUAAAGGAAAAA
This 37474-nucleotide long non-coding RNA is filed under the name Capsicum annuum. Its description in RNAcentral is "long non-coding RNA (CANN_LNC000291)". The record is from RNAcentral. Lineage: Eukaryota; Viridiplantae; Streptophyta; Magnoliopsida; Solanales; Solanaceae.